UCUACGUGACUCCAAACUUUUGAACGGUAGUGUUAAUGUGUUUUCUUAGGAAAGUCUAACGCGUAACCAGGAUCAGGUCACAUUGAAUCACCAUAACAUGAUAUAGAAACAUAAAAUCACAAACACCUGAGGAGAUAUUCAGUAGACAGCUUAACAGGGACUAAAGGUCAGGGGCUAGAGGUCAGGGGCUAGAGAUCAAGGGGUUAGAGGUCAGGGGCUAGAGGUCAGAGAUCAGGGACUAGAGGUCAGAGGCUAGAGUUCUGGGGCCAGAGGUCGGGGGCCAGAGAUCAGGGGCCAGAGGUCAGGGGUUUAAAGUGCUGAAUUCCUCUCCCUGUACUCCAGACCGAUACCAUAAUUCUAAACAAUUAUAAAUCACUAGUCAUCAAAAUAAAAUCACAAACGCCUGAGGAGAUAUUCAGUAGACAGCUUAACAGGGACUAAAGGUCAGGGGCUAGAGGUCAGGGGCUAGAGGCUAGAGGCAAGAGUUCAGAGGCGAGAGGUCAAGGCCUAGAGAUCAAGGACAAGAGGUCAAGGGCCUAGAAAUCAAGGACUAGAGGUCAAGGGGUUAGAGGUCAGGGCCUAGAGGUCAGGUACUAGAGGUCAGAGGCUAGAGUUCAGGGACUAGAGGUCAGAGGCUAGAGUUCAGGGGCCAGAGGUCGGGGGCCAGAGAUCAGGGGCCAGAGGUCAGGGGUUUAAAGUGCUGAAUUCCUCUCCCUGUACUCCAGACCGAUACCAUAAUUCUAAACAAUUAUAAAUCACUAGUCAUCAAAAUAAAAUCACAAAUGCCUGAGGAGAUAUUCAGUAGACAGCUUAACAGGGACUAAAGGUCAGGGGCUAGAGGUCAAGGGCUAGAGGUCAGGGGCUAGAGGUCAAGGGCUAGAGGUCAAGGACUAGAGGUCAGGGGCUAGAGAUCAAGGACUAGAGGUCAAGGGGUUAGAGGUCAGGGGCUAGAGGUCAGGGCCUAGAGAUCAAGGACUAGAGGUCAGGGCCUAGAGAUCAAGGACUAGAGGUCAAGGGGUUAGAGGUCGGAGGCUAGAGAUCAGGGACUAGAGGUCAGAGGCUAGAGAUCAGGGGCUAGAGGUCAGGGCCUAGAGAUCAAGGACUAGAGGUCAAGGGGUUAGAGGUCAGGGGUUAGAGGUCAGGGACUAGAAGUCAGAGGCUAGAGGUCAGGGGAUGGAGAUCAGGGGAUGGAGAUCAAGGACUAGAGGUCAAGGGGUUAGAGGUCGGAGGCUAGAGAUCAGGGACUAGAGGUCAGAGGCUAGAGGUCAGGGGAUAGAGAUCAGGGGAUAGAGAUCAAGGACUAGAGGUCAAGGGGUUGGAGGUCAGGGACUAGAGGUCAGGGACUAGAGGUCAGGGACUAGAGGUCAGGGGCAAGAGGUCAGGGGAAAGAGGUCAGGGGAAAGAGGUCAGGGGAAAGAGGUCAGGGGAAAGAGGUCAGGGGAAAGAGGUCAGGGGAAAGAGGUCAGGGGAAAGAGGUCAGGGGAAAGAGGUCAGGGGAAAGAGGUCAGGGGAAAGAGGUCAGGGGAAAGAGGUCAGGGGAAAGAGGUCAGGGGAAAGAGGUCAGGGGAAAGAGGUCAGGGGAAAGAGGUCAGGGGAUAAAGAUCGGGGGUUAGAGGUCCGGGACCAGAGGUCCGGGACCAGAGGUCAGGGGCUAAGAGGUCAGGGGCCAGAGGUCAGGGGUUUAAAGUGCUGAAUUCCUCUCCCUGUACUCCAGACCGAUACCAUAAUUCUAUACAAUUAUAAAUCACUAGUCAUCCAAAUAAAAUCACAAACGCCUGAGGAGAUAUUCAGUAGACAGCUUUACAGGGACUAAAGGUCAGGAGCUAGAGGUCAGGGGCUAGAGGUCAGGGCCUAGAGAUCAAGGACUAGAGGUCAAGGGGUUAAAGGUCAAGUGCUAGAGGUCAAGGGCUAGAGUUCAGGGGCUAGAGGUCAGGGCCUAGAGAUCAAGAGGUUAGAGGUCAGGGACUAGAGGUCAGGGGAUAAAGUUCAGAGGCUAGAGGUCAGGGGCCAGAGGUCGGGGGCCAGAGGUCGGGGGCUAAGAGGUCAGGGGCUAAGAGGUCAGGGGCUAAGAGGUCAGGGGCCAGGGAUUUAAAGUGCUGAAUUCCUCUCCCUGUACGCCAGACUGAUACCAUCAUUCUAAACAAUUAUAAAUCACUAGUCAUCAAUUAUUUAACAUGUAUCAAUACAACUAUCAGUUCCACCACCUUUAUGUCUGUCAACAACUGUGUGACUAUCAUUUACAACAACACCCACAGAUAAAUAUCCAUCUAUGUUUACAACACCCACACAUCAAUAUAUAUCUAUGUUUACAACAACACCCACACAUCAAUAUAUAUCUAUGUUUACAACACCCACACAUCAAUAUAUAUAUAUGUUUACAACAACACCCACACAUAAAU
Oncorhynchus keta (chum salmon) is the source of this 2399-nucleotide long non-coding RNA. RefSeq lists it as uncharacterized. The record is from RefSeq and is a predicted model, not a curated record. Lineage: Eukaryota; Metazoa; Chordata; Actinopteri; Salmoniformes; Salmonidae. The transcript is spliced from 3 exons.